This 815-nucleotide ribosomal RNA is filed under the name uncultured Loktanella sp. RNAcentral's name for it is "bacterial SSU rRNA". It matches the Rfam family "Bacterial small subunit ribosomal RNA", at positions 1 to 863 of the family's 1533-position model. Lineage: Bacteria; Pseudomonadati; Pseudomonadota; Alphaproteobacteria; Rhodobacterales; Roseobacteraceae. The record is from RNAcentral.
UCNCCNUNUANUUUGAUCCUGGCUCAGAACGAACGCUGGCGGCAGGCCUAACACAUGCAAGUCGAGCGCACUCUUCGGAGUGAGCGGCGGACGGGUUAGUAACGCGUGGGAAUAUACCCUUUUCUACGGAAUAGCCUCGGGAAACUGAGAGUAAUACCGUAUACGCCCUUCGGGGGAAAGAUUUAUCGGUGAAGGAUUAGCCCGCGUAAGAUUAGAUAGUUGGUGGGGUAAUGGCCUACCAAGUCUACGAUCUUUAGCUGGUUUGAGAGGAUGAUCAGCAACACUGGGACUGAGACACGGCCCAGACUCCUACGGGAGGCAGCAGUGGGGAAUCUUAGACAAUGGGCGCAAGCCUGAUCUAGCCAUGCCGCGUGAGUGACGAAGGCCUUAGGGUCGUAAAGCUCUUUCGCCAGAGAUGAUAAUGACAGUAUCUGGUAAAGAAACCCCGGCUAACUCCGUGCCAGCAGCCGCGGCAAUACGGAGGGGGUUAGCGUUGUUCGGAAUUACUGGGCGUAAAGCGUACGUAGGCGGAUUGGAGAGUAGGGGGUGAAAUCCCAGGGCUCAACCCUGGAACUGCCUCCUAAACUAUCAGUCUAGAGUUCGAGAGAGGUGAGUGGAGUUCCAAGUGUAGAGGUGAAAUUCGUAGAUAUUUGGAGGAACACCAGUGGCGAAGGCGGCUCACUGGCUCGAUACUGACGCUGAGGUACGAAAGUGUGGGGAGCAAACAGGAUUAGAUACCCUGGUAGUCCACACCGUAAACGAUGAAUGCCAGACGUCGGGGGGCUUGCCCUUCGGUGUCACACCUAACGGAUUAA